CUUAUUCCUUCUAGGCCAGGUUGAAAGGUUUUUAAAAGCAGGUGGGGGUGCCAGGAUAGUGAGAAAAACAAGAAAAGACACUGCUUUUUACCCCAUGCGGGGCAGAGCUGGUCUCCUUUCUGCAGGUGUUGAGGGGAGUUGAGUAGGAGCCCAGAGCUGGUACAGGCCCCGUUUAACGUGCCCCCGCAGAGUGAGGGCUGGGGGUCACCCCAUAGGCAGGGGAGCCCUUCUGGGAGGGAAUUCCUGCUUAGGUGGGAGGUUGACCUGAAUGACAUCUAGGUCCUCUACCUCCCAGAUGCCGAAUUUUCAGGGAAGGAACCAAAUGGAUGUAUGGCCCAUGCCUGGGUUUGAAUCCCAGUUCUGGCCUUCAUUCCUCCAGGCCUCCAUUUCCUUGUCUGCACUAUGGGGCCAUGGUGAGAACUCUGAAAUAACACCAACUGCCUGGUGCUUGGUCCUGCACCCAGGCUGGUAUGAAAAAGGUGCCGAGAAGGUCCCAUGCAUCACCAGCCUGGAGGUAGCAGCAGAAGGGAAACC
Molecule: long non-coding RNA, 534 nt
Filed under: Homo sapiens (human)
Lineage: Eukaryota; Metazoa; Chordata; Mammalia; Primates; Hominidae
Description: HSALNT0245995
Source: RNAcentral